AAAUCAAAUAUGUGUUCAUUUAAAUUAUUUUUGAAAAAUUUGUCAUUGUGUAAUUAAUAUACUUAAAAUUACUAACAUGAAAAAUUAGCAAACAAUACUAUUUUUUUAAAAUUCAAGAAAUUCAUUGUUCCAAGGAUCAACUUACUUCGCACUUCCCUUUACUAUAAUGGCUUUCAAAAAAUUCAAUACUCGCUACACUCUUAAGACUAGUUCAGACUAUUCCAGUAAUUUAGUCGAGUGAUAAAACAAAACGCCCUUCUACAAAGAAUAAGAAAAUAAAGUAGAUGCACGAUAUGUGUUGCAGUAGAUUAUUCAGUCGCUACCGUGAUAAUGUUCAACUGUUUGCUGUUGGUUCCCGAAUGGGUGACCAUAAGGAAACUUUAACAGUGAGACACAUCUUUCCCAUACUGCGUCUCUCAGCUAUAAUCAAUUCGAUGCAUCUAGUCGAUAGCUGGUAAUGAUAUGAAUGACAAAGAAGAACCUUUGUAUCUUAUCAACAUUUUAUUAUUAAUUUUUUUUUUCCAUAAAAUUUGAAUUGAGUAAAU
This is a long non-coding RNA of Daktulosphaira vitifoliae (grape phylloxera), 545 nucleotides long. RefSeq lists it as uncharacterized. The transcript is spliced from 3 exons. The record is from RefSeq and is a predicted model, not a curated record. NCBI's taxonomy places the organism in Eukaryota, Metazoa, Arthropoda, Insecta, Hemiptera, Phylloxeridae.